This is a long non-coding RNA of Triticum urartu, 2075 nucleotides long. RefSeq lists it as uncharacterized. Lineage: Eukaryota; Viridiplantae; Streptophyta; Magnoliopsida; Poales; Poaceae. The record is from RefSeq and is a predicted model, not a curated record.
UUUCCUUCGUUCACCUAGAGAGACAGGGGUAACGAGAAAAGGGGGCCAGGCCGUUCGCCGCCUCCACCCGCCGAUCCCUCGCCGCCCCGCCGUCGUCCGUCGCCGCCAUCCUCCACUGGCCGUCAUCGACGCACCUCCCAUGGCCGCGUUUUGAUUCGGUCGUCAGUGGCUCCAUCCCCACUGCAGCGUCUCCUCUCCUCUCCACCCCCAUCUUGCCCUAUCCCCUGUCAUCCCUUUCAUCCUCCUCUUAGAUGGGGUACAUCGCCUUGAUCUCCUCCACGGUCGCCUGAAGCAACUCCCUCACAAACCCUAGCCACCACUGUCUCCAACGAUGGCGGAUGCCGGCGAGCAGCGUGGAAGCCGCUGGUGCUGUACGGAGACUGACGACGCGUGACACACGACGGCCAUACACUUAAGGGUUGUUGGUGCAGGCAAUGGAUACGAAGUACCAAGCCAGUUGAUAUGAACUUGCGAUUUUCAUGUUAUUAGUCCUCUACUACUAUCUCUCAAGCUGGAGGUGAUUGCAAAUUUCUGCAUGAGCCUCAGAUUCCUUCAUAUUGCACUAAUUAUAUAAUCAGCAAAUGGAUUCAUGAUGAGGAGCAAUGAUAGUUCUAUGUAUGUAUGAUUAGUGAUCCAGACAUUCAGUACUACAAUUUACAGGAGUUGGUGAACAUUGUUGGCCCCGUUUAUGAAUACGGCAUUCUUGACUGAAUGAACCAGUGGUUCUAGAGCACUCGAUUGGGCAGUAAAAAGAGUAGAUGCUUCGUCAUUCGUCCAAGUUCAUGGCUGGGUAGUGGGUACUCCCGCGGAAAUUCUAGAGAACCCAGAUGCAUGAAUGGGCUGAGUUAAAUUCCCCUGUUCUGUUUGCUCAGUAUAUAUGUGGAUUGUGCAUUUUCAAUCAACGUCUGAACCACGGACUCAGAUUUCAAAAAUUGUCUCCACAAGAGGCGGUACAUGAGCUGUCAGGAUUUGUCAUGUGACUUCUCUAUUGCUUAACGGGCCACUACAUCGUUUCUUGGAAUUUUCAGCAAAUGCUCCUCUCUAUACUGAUUGGCGACCAUCUUGCUAGGAUUCAAUUUUGUCCAAUACAAAUCCACAUGUUUGCUAAAUCACUUAGUCCCUGUAGUAAACAUGUGUAGCUUGAUUUUGAAUUAUGCUUUGAACACAAAGUUAAUUAACGCUCGAUUGCCCAUGUAUGCUAUUCUUGCUUGGACCAGAGUUUCCUACCUUCCAAAUUAAAUUUGAGUUUGAUGUUCAGUUAUUUACAUAAUUAUAGAAUACCAUCUUCCAUGAAAAAUGCCAGCUAAUUGAUUUUCAGUGCUAAGUUUGAUAAUAAGGUUAUCUGCAUAAAUAUUGAUCAAUUCAUAUGUCAGAGCAUGAUAUGAUUUCUAUAUCCCUGAUCAGUGACAAAUGCUUGACAAGGUGUUCUAUGCCAAUUUUUUUCUGAGCCUGACAAAACCUUAGUAUUCAUCAUCUUAUCCAAGUUUAAGGUGUAUGGGAAAACUAUAGUUUCGAAUGUUUUGAACUAUAUGAUCUCUUAUAGUUUGUAGUUUGGCGACGAUGUCAUAAAGCUUGCAGUUUGGUGAUUGAAGGCCAUUCUUCUGCAUUACAUUUGUUAUAUUAAGAGUACUAGCAUGCAGCUUCACAAGCACAAAUAAGGAGGUACUAGAGUAACCAUCAUACAUUGAAGGAUGUAAUAUUAGCCAGGCCCUGCACAUCAAAUAUAUAUUAGAUGUUAGUCGUUAUGUGAUUUCUCCAUUAUACUUUCAUAUAGGAGAUUGCUCUCAUUUCUCAGCAAGACACUAACUUUUACUUUACACACAAUUCAGCUGGAUGCUUACUUUUACCUCUUCUCUCUUACAGGAUUAUUGUUCAUUUCAUUUUGCACUUCACAAAAUUGGAAGAAUUGUUUUCUAAGCCCAUGGUCUCCAUCAGGACAUCAUACACAUGUGAAUGUAUAAUAAUCCAGGGCUACGAAACGGUGGUGACAUAAUUUUGACUCAGGUUUUCAUCAAUAUCAGCUAUUGUAUUUGUACAUAGAAAAAACUCGAAUCCUUAAAAUACAUUCUGACAUA